This 77-nucleotide transfer RNA is filed under the name Shouchella clausii. RNAcentral describes it as "tRNA-Met". It matches the Rfam family "tRNA". From Rfam's summary of the family: Transfer RNA (tRNA) molecules are approximately 80 nucleotides in length. Their secondary structure includes four short double-helical elements and three loops (D, anti-codon, and T loops). The record is from RNAcentral. Lineage: Bacteria; Bacillati; Bacillota; Bacilli; Caryophanales; Bacillaceae.
CGCGGGGUGGAGCAGCCUGGUAGCUCAUCGGGCUCAUAACCCGAAGGUCGGCGGUUCAAAUCCGUCCCCCGCAACCA